Molecule: ribosomal RNA, 253 nt
Filed under: uncultured bacterium
Lineage: Bacteria
Description: partial 16S ribosomal RNA
Rfam family: Bacterial small subunit ribosomal RNA
Source: RNAcentral
UACGUAGGGUGCGAGCGUUAAUCGGAAUUACUGGGCGUAAAGGGUGCGCAGGCGGUUCUGCAAGUCAGGCGUGAAAUCCCCGGGCUUAACCUGGGAAUGGCGCUUGAAACUACGGGACUGGAGUAUGGCAGAGGGAGGUGGAAUUCCACGUGUAGCGGUGAAAUGCGUAGAGAUGUGGAGGAACACCGAUGGCGAAGGCAGCCUCCUGGGCCAAUACUGACGCUCAUGCACGAAAGCGUGGGGAUCAAACAGG